RNAcentral lists this ribosomal RNA (297 nucleotides) under uncultured soil bacterium. Its description in RNAcentral is "partial 16S ribosomal RNA". It matches the Rfam family "Bacterial small subunit ribosomal RNA", at positions 26 to 323 of the family's 1533-position model. The record is from RNAcentral.
AGAUUGAACGCUGGCGGCAGGCCUAACACAUGCAAGUCGAGCGGCAGCACGGGUACUUGUACCUGGUGGCGAGCGGCGGACGGGUGAGUAAUGCCUAGGAAUCUGCCUGAUAGUGGGGGAUAACGUUCGGAAACGGACGCUAAUACCGCAUACGUCCUACGGGAGAAAGUGGGGGAUCUUCGGACCUCACGCUAUCAGAUGAGCCUAGGUCGGAUUAGCUAGUUGGUAGGGUAAAGGCCUACCAAGGCUACGAUCCGUAACUGGUCUGAGAGGAUGAUCAGUCACACUGGAACUGAG